RNAcentral lists this ribosomal RNA (499 nucleotides) under uncultured bacterium. RNAcentral describes it as "partial 16S ribosomal RNA". It matches the Rfam family "Bacterial small subunit ribosomal RNA", at positions 28 to 507 of the family's 1533-position model. The record is from RNAcentral.
GACGAACGCUGGCGGCGUGCCUAAUACAUGCAAGUCGAGCGAAGUUUUUCUGGUGCUUGCACCGGAAAAACUUAGCGGCGAACGGGUGAGUAACACGUAAAGAACCUGCCUUAUAGACUGGGACAACUAUUGGAAACGAUAGCUAAUACCGGAUAACAGCAUUAACUGCAUGGUUGAUGUUUGAAAGUUGGUUUUGCUAACACUAUGAGAUGGCUUUGCGGUGCAUUAGCUAGUUGGUGGGGUAAAGGCCUACCAAGGCGACGAUGCAUAGCCGACCUGAGAGGGUGAUCGGCCACACUGGGACUGAGACACGGCCCAGACUCCUACGGGAGGCAGCAGUAGGGAAUCUUCCGCAAUGGGCGAAAGCCUGACGGAGCAACGCCGCGUGAGUGAAGAAGGAUUUCGGUUCGUAAAGCUCUGUUGUUAGGGAAGAAUGAUUGUGUAGUAACUAUACACAGUAGAGACGUUACCUAACCAGAAAGCCACGGCUAACUACGUG